Molecule: ribosomal RNA, 380 nt
Filed under: uncultured eukaryote
Lineage: Eukaryota
Description: partial 18S ribosomal RNA
Rfam family: Eukaryotic small subunit ribosomal RNA
Source: RNAcentral
CAAUAGCGUAUAUUAAAGUUGUUGCAGUUAAAAAGCUCGUAGUUGGAUUUCUGCUGAGGACGAUCGGUCCGCCCACUGGGUGAGUAUCUGGCUCGGCCUUGGCAUCUUCUUGGAGAACGUUGCUGCACUUGACUGUGUGGCGCGGUAUCCAGGACUUUUACUUUGAGGAAAUUAGAGUGUUUCAAGCAGGCGCACGCCUUGAAUACAUUAGCAUGGAAUAAUGAGAUAGGACCUUGGUUCUAUUUUGUUGGUUUCUAGAGCUGAGGUAAUGAUUAAUAGGGAUAGUUGGGGGCAUUCGUAUUUAACUGACAGAGGUGAAAUUCUUGGAUUUGUUAAAGACGGACUACUGCGAAAGCAUUUGCCAAGGAUGUUUUCAUUGA